AGUGAACGCUGGCGGUAGGCCUAACACAUGCAAGUCGAACGGCAGCACAGUAAGAGCUUGCUCUUACGGGUGGCGAGUGGCGGACGGGUGAGGAAUACAUCGGAAUCUACUUUUUCGUGGGGGGUAACGUAGGGAAACUUACGCUAAUACCGCAUACGACCUACGGGUGAAAGCAGGGGAUCUUCGGACCUUGCGCGAUUGAAUGAGCCGAUGUCGGAUUAGCUAGUUGGCGGGGUAAAGGCCCACCAAGGCGACGAUCCGUAGCUGGUCUGAGAGGAUGAUCAGCCACACUGGAACUGAGACACGGUCCAGACUCCUACGGGAGGCAGCAGUGGGGAAUAUUGGACAAUGGGCGCAAGCCUGAUCCAGCCAUACCGCGUGGGUGAAGAAGGCCUUCGGGUUGUAAAGCCCUUUUGUUGGGAAAGAAAAGCAGCAGGUUAAGACCCCGCUGUUCUGACGGUACCCAAAGAAUAAGCACCGGCUAACUUCGU
This 491-nucleotide ribosomal RNA is filed under the name uncultured bacterium. RNAcentral's name for it is "partial 16S ribosomal RNA". It matches the Rfam family "Bacterial small subunit ribosomal RNA", at positions 29 to 506 of the family's 1533-position model. The record is from RNAcentral.